Molecule: ribosomal RNA, 643 nt
Filed under: Salmonella enterica subsp. enterica
Lineage: Bacteria; Pseudomonadati; Pseudomonadota; Gammaproteobacteria; Enterobacterales; Enterobacteriaceae
Also listed under: 2 other names
Description: partial 23S ribosomal RNA
Rfam family: Bacterial large subunit ribosomal RNA
Source: RNAcentral
GUGGGUAGUUUGACUGGGGCGGUCUCCUCCUAAAGAGUAACGGAGGAGCACGAAGGUUGGCUAAUCCUGGUCGGACAUCAGGAGGUUAGUGCAAUGGCAUAAGCCAGCUUGACUGCGAGCGUGACGGCGCGAGCAGGUGCGAAAGCAGGUCAUAGUGAUCCGGUGGUUCUGAAUGGAAGGGCCAUCGCUCAACGGAUAAAAGGUACUCCGGGGAUAACAGGCUGAUACCGCCCAAGAGUUCAUAUCGACGGCGGUGUUUGGCACCUCGAUGUCGGCUCAUCACAUCCUGGGGCUGAAGUAGGUCCCAAGGGUAUGGCUGUUCGCCAUUUAAAGUGGUACGCGAGCUGGGUUUAGAACGUCGUGAGACAGUUCGGUCCCUAUCUGCCGUGGGCGCUGGAGAACUGAGGGGGGCUGCUCCUAGUACGAGAGGACCGGAGUGGACGCAUCACUGGUGUUCGGGUUGUCAUGCCAAUGGCACUGCCCGGUAGCUAAAUGCGGAAGAGAUAAGUGCUGAAAGCAUCUAAGCACGAAACUUGCCCCGAGAUGAGUUCUCCCUGAGACUUAGAGUCUCCUGAAGGAACGUUGAAGACGACGACGUUGAUAGGCCGGGUGUGUAAGCGCAGCGAUGCGUUGAGCUAACCGG